AGGAAAUCACACGCGACGUCAUUGCCACGAAUCUAUCUAGUUCUUCGAUUGAGCCCUAUCUUACAAUACGUCUCCUCUUCUUCUGCCUCUAAUGCACCCUGAUCAAUCGCUUCUUUUGUCUCUAAUGCACCCUGAUCAAUCACUUUAUCAAGAUAGAUACUGCAGCCCUCGAACCAUGAGAUCUAUCGAGCAAUUUCUGCAACAAAUUAAGUAGAGUUUACCCAGAAUCCCAACCCGUAUGUUUCUCCCCUCUCCUGUAAAUCUCCACAACAAUAAGUAUAACAGUCAAUAUAUAUGGACACAGCUGCAUGAGGGCAAAUCAAGGAAAAACAGAAAAACACAUCAAUCAGGUUGCUUGUUCAAUAUACACACCUUCACAAACAUUAUCUUCUCCUUUUCAUAUUUUCUUUCUAGCACAUAAUAAGCACCAUCAUCCAUAUUUCAAAGUCCUGAUUGUUAAUUUUGCAUGUGUGUGUGGCAAUCUGGAUUCAGCAAAAGCUCUGAAUCCUUUCCUGGGAAUCUUAGUGUUAUCAUAGAUUCUUCCCUGCUAAAGAAUACUUGUUGGAAAUAAGAAACACAAGAGGUUUUAUAUGCUAAUAAUAAUAUGCUACAGAAAUACAAAAACCAGAAAUGAGAUGACCAAAAAAAAUGAGCUUGUAGUAUAAAUACCAACUGCAACUACCAACUACAAACGCCUUGUCCCAGCUUAUCAGGAAAUCAUCUUCUCAAGCGUAUAGUACAAAAACCAAAUACUUUGUAGAAGCAUAUAUAUGCACCCCCCCCCCUAUAUUUUAAUAUAAAUGCACCGUAAUUUUACGCCCCGCAAAUUUUAUUUUAUUUAAUACGUAAAAUAAUGAUGGUAAGAAAAUAUAUAAUGGCCAUAAAAAUAUUUUAUGUUACGUAAAAUCACAAACGUAAAAACAUAGUGUAUAAUAUGCACAAAAUGCUAUUUUCCUGGUCUUAUGACCUAUAUAUUUGUUUUCUUAUGCCAAAUUUUACGCAGUGAAUCAAUAUGAAUAUAACUAUUUAUAUUGCAAAUAUAAUUUAUUUAUAGAAGGAUCGUAAAAUUACCUUGGAUAAAGAAUAACUUAAGAGAGAGAGAAAGGCUCAAUGGCAAUGGGCAUAUGUGCAGUAGAGCCGUAACCUUAAAUAUUGUUGCCAUGCUUAUCUGCACUAAAAAGGAUAAAGAGUGACCCUGACCCAUGUGCAUUGAGGGGUACACCAAAGUUAGUCAUAUGCCUAAGCUUGGUUUGUGGAAAAGGAAAAAAACAAUUAUUUAUUGUAGGAACGGGGGAGAGAGGAGUACCUCCAGCACAAGUGUUUUGUGCGUGGCGGCUGUCUCAGGAACGGGAGAUGGCUGGGAGCCUCCUUUUAGGUUAGUCCCACUACAUGGGCCUGGGCCCUAAGAGAUAACUUGUAUGGGCUGGGCCAUACCAGUUCAACACUUCCCCUCAAGAUGGGUGGUAGAUAUCUAUCAUUCCCAUCUUGUCACAUGCCAAGUUACAAUCCUUUCUUCCCAGACCCUUUGUCAAACAAUCUGCAAACUGCUGCCCAGAACUGACAUGAGUAAGGCUGAUGACCCCGGCAUCAAGCUUCUCCUUAAUGAAGAACCGAUCAAUUUCCACAUGCUUUGUCCUAUCAUGUUGAACUGGGUUAUUAGCGAUGGCUAUAGCUGACUGAUUGUCACACCACACCUUCAAGGGCCCCUUCCUCAGAAGUUUCAACUCGCUCAGUAGGUACUUCACCCAGAGCAUCUCACACAACCCUUGAGAUAAUGCUCUAUACUCAGCUUCUGCUGUUGAUCUAGACACAACCGGCUGUUUCUUGCUUCUCCAUGAUACCAAAUUUCCUCCCACAAACACGCAGUAACCAGAAGUUGAUCUUCUAUCAUCUUGACAACUGGCCCAGUCAGAGUCACUAUAGCCAUCCACCUCAAGAUGUCCACUCUUCCCAAACCACAACCCUUUACCCGGAGUCCCCUUCAAGUAUCUCAGGAUUCUGUGCACAAUAUCAAGAUGCCCACUCCUUGGUUCAUGCAUGUAUCUGCUCACCACCCCCGUAGCAUACGUAAUGUCAGGCCUGGUAUGACACAAGUACAACAACCUUCCAACCAGUUUCUGAUACUCUUCCUUAUUCACUAGCUCUCCUGAUUGUGCUGUCACUUGGUGAUUUUUUUCAAUCGGAGUAGGGGCAGUACGACAUCCCAUCAUGCCCACGUCACUCAAGAGAUCCAAGGUGUAUUUUCGUUGGCACAAAGAGAUUCCCUUCUCUGUCCGAGCCACUUCAAUGCCAAGAAAGUAUUUUAGGUUACCCAAAUCCUUUACCUCAAACUCCUUGCUCAAACAACCCUUCAAUCUCUCUAUUUCCUCCUCAUCAUCUCCAUCUCCAGUGAUGAUAAUGUCAUCCACAUAAACAGCAAGAAUGGUGAUCUUCCGAUCAGAGUGCUUGUAGAACAUCGUGUGGUCACCGUUACACUGACCAUACCCCAUACCACGGACAGCACGUCUGAACCUAUCAAACCAGGCCCUUGGUGAUUGCUUCAGUCCAUACAAGGAUUUCUUCAGCCUGCAUACCUUCCCCGUAGUCUCUGAAGUACCAAAACCUGGUGGUAUUUCCAUGUAGACUUCUUCUUGCAACUCACCAUGCAAGAGGGCAUUUUUGACAUCUAAUUGAUGCAACUUCCACCCAAAGUUUGCAGCACAGGAGACCAAUAUCCUUACUGUGUUCAUCUUUGCCACGGGAGCAAACGUCUCAUCAUAGUCAAUUCCAUAAGUUUGACUAUAUCCUCUGGCGACCAAUCUGGCCUUAUACCGUUCCACCUUCCCUUCAGGAUUCUGCUUCACUACAUAGAUCCACUUACAACUCACUGCUUUCUUUUCUGUCGGCAAUGUGGUUAGCACCCAUGUCUUGUUUUUCCUUAGUGCUUCCAACUCUUCUAUCAUCGCUUCACGCCACCUCGGAUCUUGCUUUGCAGCCUUCCAAUCCUUUGGAAUUGACACAGUUUGAAGGGAGGCAACAAACGCCUUAUAUGUGGGUGACAAAGCCUUAUAAGACACAAAAUUGCCAAUAUCAAGAUCAUCACAAGCAUCAUCCUUCGGUAGAGCCUUCCUUGCUACUUCACCCUUUCUUGCCGCUUCACGUGUAGCCUUUCGCAAUGCAAUGGGCAGCUCCACUGUGUCAGAUGAGCUCGUCUCACUAUCUUGCUGCUCCCCCUGCACUCUUGCCUCACUGUCUUGCUGCUCCCCUUGCACGUGUGGUUGCCGUCGAGAGUACACUAGGGUGUUCGUCUGCCAUCGAUCCCGAACAGGAACCCGAAGAGCACCAAUCUUAAGUGUAUCGACGGUUGGCUCGACAGGAACCUGCACAUCAUCAUCAGUGAGAGUACUAACCGGAAUUGUUCCCACUGUUGGUUGGACCUGAACUUGCACAUCAUUAGCAGUGUUAUUGCCCACAGAAUCACCCUGAGUAUGAGACACAUCCUUCUCCCCCUCUUGACCAUCGUGCACAUGAUGUAGGUGGUCAAGCUCUGCAAAUAGCAGACUGAGAUCAGUCGGCGUACCAUAGAAUGGCUCGGACUGCCUGAAGAUAACAUCCAUACUCACGAACCUGCGUUUUUCAGAGGGAGACCAACAUUUAUACCCCUGCUGACUAGAAGAGUAUCCCAGGAAGACACACUUCACUGCCCGAGGAUCAAGCUUUCCAACAUAUGGUCGGUGAUCACGAACAAAGCAAGUACUGCCAAACAACUUUGGGGAAACAACAAACUUAUUAUCUCCAAUGAGCAACUCAGACGGAGAUUUCAUACCUAAUAUCCUGGAAGGUGUCCGGUUGAUCAGGUACGUGGCUGUCAUAACUGCUUCAUCCCAUAAGAACUUAGGCACAUUCAUGGUAAACAUUAAUGACCGAGCAACCUCAAGAAUAUGACGAUUCUUCCUUUCGGCCACUCCAUUCUAAGGUGGGGUGUCCGGACAUGAAGUUUGAUGAAGAAUCCCUUGGUUAGCCAUGAAAUCCCCAAAAAUAUUGUUCACAUACUCUGUACCAUUGUCAGUCCUGAGCACGUUGACCUGCACCUGAAACUGGUUCUUUACAAGAGCAUGGAAGUUCUGAAAACAGCUAAACACCUCAUCCUUGUGACGCAUCAAGUAAAUCCAAGUCAUACGAGAAUAGCAGUCAAUAAAGGUAACAAGAUACUUCUUUCCAUUCAUUGACACUACUGGGCUAGUCCAUACAUCCGAAUGAAUGAGCAUAAAAGAAGAUAUGCUCCUAAGCCCCUUACUCACAUAUGAGGCUCGUGUGUGUUUUGCAUAUUCGCAAGCAUCACAUGUCAACUUGCCAUUGCCUAUUCCACACAUAACAUCCGGAAAGAUUCUACUCAUCUUAUCAAAAGAUACAUGACCCAUUCUACAAUGAUGGAUCAUCGUCUGCUUCUCCUUGUCCUCCAUGGUCGCAGCACACACCAAGUUCGGUUGCACCUCCUGGUCCAUGUACCAGAGCCCCCUACGCCUGGUGCCAGUCUCAACCGUCUGGCUCGUCUAUCCCUCCUGAAUCAAGCAACCGAACUUGUCAAGGAUCACACGACAGUCUAUUUGAUCAAUGAGAGCACUGAAAGAGACCAAAUUGACAGGAAAAGUUGGCACAUGCAAAACUGACGAUAAUGAGAUGGUUGAAGUGCAUGUGACUGUGCCAACCCCUACGACAGGCUGAUUAAUACCAUCGGCAGUUUGUACAGUGCCCUUGUGAGUAGGAGCAUGCUUAUGGUAAGACUCAAACACACACGAAUUACCCGCAACAUGCUUAGAUGCUCCAAAGUCUAAGACCCACUCUAAAGCACUCUCAUUAGGAGGAAGACAUGCCUUCAUCGAAUUACCUUCAUCAGUGGAGGCCCAGUGAGCAAAGUCUCCAUAGGCCGCCUCAUCAACUCCCUUGCCCUGUGACGUCCCAGUGUCCUCUUCAACUACCAUAUGCGCCCUGCCCCCUAAGUUUCCUGAGUAGCCACCUCUGCCCCUAGAAAGUUGACCCCCUGAGUUCCAUGGGUAUCCACCUCUGCCUCGAGCAUACCUUCCUCUGCCAGUGCCCCCUCUGUUGUAUCCCCUGCCUCUACCACGAGUUGGACAUUCCCUCUUCCAAUGACCUACCUCCCCACAAAUAUGACAUUUGUUGGGAUCUCCCCACUCCAUGCGCUCAGUGACUGCAAAUGUCGAAGCUGGCACAAACUUCACGUUUGCAUGCGCAAGAGAUAGCCUCACCUCCUCUUGAGACAUUGCUGCAAUAGUCUCCUCAAUAGUUGGCAGGAGAGGUUGGUGCAACAGGGAAGCCCCCCUGCCAUGAAAGCAACCUCUGAGGCCUUCCAACAGUUUCAGCACGCGCCUGCGUGCAAUCCACUUGCGCCCUGACUCGAUGCACGCCGCAUCAUAGAGUUCCAGAGGAUCACAGUUAUCCUGCUCUGCCCACAAAGCCUGCAGCUCUGCUACAUAUGUCAUCACUGACAUGUCAUCGCCUUGGCGCAGCCGACUGAUCUUCCCCUCAAUCUGAGCAAUUAGCAUGAAAUUACCCUUGCCUGAGUAUUGGGUGGAUAGAGUCUUCCAUAUCUCGGCGGACGUGGAUAGUCCCUCCACAGAGCGACCAAUGGAGGGCACCACUGAGUUCAACAACCAGCCAACAAGCACAGAGUUUAUGACCUUCCACCGCUUUCCCUCCGCGGUAGUCUUGUCUCCGGGUUCAUCAACCGCACCCAAUAAGUGCCCAUCAAGUUCCUUCUGUUCCACAGCCAGCAAUGCCCUUCUGGACCAGCUCAAAUAAUUUGUGGCCCCCUCUAGCUUCAUGUCCAGGGGUGACAUUUCGAGCUUCUGAGCCACUUCCUGUCGAGGAACGAUGGCCCCAGAGUUGGAGUUGGACUCCGUGAGGAUCUUAGCGAGCUUCUCGAAAGCCUCAGCAAGCGCAUUUGGUUCAGCCAUCUCCGAUCCGGUAAACAGCAGCAGCAGCCCUCAGCAGCACAGCCCUACAGCUGCACGGUUGGUCCCUUUACACCCCCUGGCUAGCAGCAGCACCCAGCAACUCAGCAGCUCCAAGUGCAAGCAGCAACCACAGCCUCUUCCUCCAGCAGCAGUUCUCUCCCUUCUUCCUCUGCAAACAGCAGCAGUUCUCUUCCUCCUUCCUCUGCAAACAACAGCAGUUCUCUUCCUCCUUCCUCUGCAAACAGCAGCAGUUUCAGAGGAUCUUGGCCUCCAACAGCAGCCAACCCCCGCAGCAGUUCUCCAGCUCCCGGUCCCUGCAGACACACGCACACACACCAGCACAACAAGGAGCUGCCCUUCUCCACUACCCUUCUCCUCUUCUCCUCCCGCAGCACCACAGCCCGUUGGAGACCAAGCCGCUCCUCAGCUUCCUCCUCCUGCCGCGCAACACAGCAGCUCCACCUCUCCUUCUUCCUCUGCCGUGCAGCACAGCCUCCACCUCUCCUUCCUCUCCAACGAGCCGCACCUCCUGCGCAGCCACGCCACGCCUCCCAGAUCCGCCGCUGCCUCGCCGGACGCCGCCCAGAUCCAACGCCACCUCGCCGGACGUCGCCGUCGUCUUCUCAGGCCCCGCCGUCGCUGGCUCUGAUACCAUGUAGGAACGGGGGGAGAGAGGAGUACGGGAGGGAGAGAGGAGUACCUCCAGCACAAGUGUUUUGUGUGUGGCGGCUGUCUCAGGAACGGGAGAUGGCUAGGAGCCUCCUUUUAGGUUAGUCCCACUACAUGGGCCUGGGCCCUAAGAGAUAACUUGUAUGGGCUGGGCCAUACCGGUUCAACAUUUAUGUGCCUAACACACCAGCAAAUCAAAUGCAGCCUCCACUACAUGUCAAUAGUUCCAUGAAAAAAACAAAAAAAACUAAUACGAUAUUUAAUUGUAAGCAUACAACAAAUAGUACCACUCUAAAUCUGGUGUCGCCAUUCCUCAAAACAGAAAUUUUCAACCUUUCUUUUUUUUUAAAUUACAAUAAAGAGUAUCAAUGUUUAAGUUUCUAAGAAAAAAAGGAGAAGAAAAGUUUAGAACCAUGGGUUCAAUAUGAGAUUAGAACUACAGCCACCAUGCGAGUAGCCGAGGAUAGGGAAAUGUUGACAAUAUUAGAGCAUGUUUACGUCAGGAUAAAAUGUUGUCAAAAUUAUUCAUCUAGUUCAAUUAAGUUCUAUGAUGUAUAAAGUAUGUACUUGGCAAGAAAAAUACAAGGGGUUACCUGGAUAUAUGAUGCUGCAGUACACAUAUAUUUAUCUAACUAAAAUUAAGCCCACCACUUCCCGCUCUCAUAUUACUUCAGAAUCAUCAGUAUGAGAAAACAUUGAUACCCAUUACUUUAUACUGAUAAACUCCAUGCUCCGAGACAAGGUUGCACACGUCAUCGCCGACAAUUCCCUUCUCUUCUCGAAUCAACAUAUAACCAUGUUUUUAUCUUACAAGAGAAGGGAAUCCUCGCAAUCUGCUAGAUACAACAAGGUACUUUUGUAUGACGUGCCUGAGCCAUCAAUUUGCCGGUCCUUUUCUUCCUGAAACCAACAGAGACAACACCGACUGAUUUUCCAGCACGCAAUAGCUUCCCCUCAACUUCUAUUUCUUCCUGUAAAAAUAAAAGAAAUAGUUUACGGCAUGUCAAAUAACUAUUAAAAUAACAUAAGAGUGAAAAGACAAAGGUAUGUACAAAAUUAAUCAAGCCUUAUGAUGCUAUUCUAGCAAGAAACUGGCCAAAUCUGCCCUUUGGGGGGUAGGGGUGGGGGCAAAAAUUAUGAGAAAAGAUAACGCCCAUAUGUGUGGGUGUUUGCAAACCGUCCACACGCAUGAAUCUGCGUCUGUUUGUGCUUUGCAUUAAUCUUGGUAUUUUUUGAUAGUUUUUCUGUACCACGUAGGACUGAACUGGUGUGUCGGUAUUUAACCACUUCGCCCACACGGCCGUUUCUUUCUCAGCAGGAAUCUUUUUUGGUUUUCGGUUUAAAAAUGUUUUAUCAUGACAACUUCAGUGUAACAUCAUGACAACUGUUGAAGCACCCAUUUUUUUAAAUGUAACAUCAUGGCAACUGUUGUAACAUCAUGAAAUUUUUUUAAAUGUAGAAGAAAAAAUAGGUGAAACAUAUCAUGGCAACUUCAGUGUAAACACCAUGGCAUGGCAACUACAGUGUAACAUCAUGGCAACUGUUGUCCAAAAAAAUAAUUUAUCGAAAUAUAUUGAUAUGAGAUCUAGUUUCGAAGAUCUCGUCGCGAUGGAUUUAAUGAUAAAAACGGAUCUUCAAUCGGAUUUUUCAUUUACAAGAUAAAACAUUUUAAAAACUCAAAAUCCAAAAAGAUACCCACAUGCAUACAUGUGGUUUGGGCGUUAGCUAUUUUGCCCACACUCAGGCGUGUGAGCUAUUUCUCUUACACACCACACAAGAUGUAUGGGCAACACCCCUUAACACCCAGACGUGUGGGUGUUAUCAGGACCCAAAAUUAUAACCAAGCAACCUGAAAAGUACGUUUGGAUUUUUCAGAGCAAUAUUUGGACAACAUGACAAUAACUAUGAUCCUGAACUAAUUCUAGGAACCUCUUCAGAGCAAUAUCUGAACAAGAUGACAAUAAUUCAGAUCCUAAACUUAUUCUAGGAAACAUUUUGUACCCAGCUCCAGUCUGUAUUGAGCGAGUCAAAGGAAACAAAAAAUGAAUAACACCGUGUAAAUGCAGGCGCACUGAAUUCAACCAUCUUUUCUAAUUAGUACACACUUAUAUUCCUAUAAUAUUAAAAUGACUGGACGGUAAGAAGUGGUGGACCUUUUAUCUUGCCAAUUGAGAAAUAUUCAGUCGAGUAACAGACAAAAAAGAUCUCCACAUUUGAUCUGAACCAAUGAGAAAAGAGGGUCGUGUAUUUAACAUAGGUUCUGAAGUACGAGAAGAAUGCUCACCAAUUUGUUUCAGAUUCGAACUGAAUGCAUAAUAUCUUAGAUCGCGCAACCUAAGGUAAUGCAAAGAAAUAAAAUCAUACUAUUUAGGCAAUCCAAAUAGGCAUUGUAUGUACAGAAAAAUCAAAGGCGAAAUAGCAAAACAUCCAUGAAACUAAGCCAGUCACAUGAUGAUCAUAUUAAUGUCCACCUACAGCGGCCAAGUUUAGAAACCCCAAACGAGUGAGCAGAUGAAGCCAAGAAAAAGAAACACACUGAAGGGGAUCGGGAGACAGGGCCACCUACAUCGACCAAGUUUAGAAACCCCAAACAUGUGAGCAGAUCAAGCCAAGAAAAAAAAACACGAAAGGAGAUCGGGAGACACGACGGAGACCUUGAGGCGGGAAAGAGAGAUGGAGCGGGGUCGGGCUGCUUCUUCCCCUUACCUCUGCCCUCCCCCAUCUUCCCCACAAACCCCACAGCUGCUGCGUUGCUAGGCAUGGAGGGAGAGAGGAGCAGCAAAAGCAAGGACGCGGCGAGGAGGCAAAAACAGGCGGCGGAC
This 9445-nucleotide long non-coding RNA is filed under the name Hordeum vulgare. RNAcentral describes it as "long non-coding RNA (HVUL_LNC010104)". Lineage: Eukaryota; Viridiplantae; Streptophyta; Magnoliopsida; Poales; Poaceae. The record is from RNAcentral.